Microtus ochrogaster (prairie vole) is the source of this 160-nucleotide small nuclear RNA. Its record names the gene U1. It matches the Rfam family "U1 spliceosomal RNA". From Rfam's summary of the family: U1 is a small nuclear RNA (snRNA) component of the spliceosome (involved in pre-mRNA splicing). Its 5' end forms complementary base pairs with the 5' splice junction, thus defining the 5' donor site of an intron. The record is from Ensembl. NCBI's taxonomy places the organism in Eukaryota, Metazoa, Chordata, Mammalia, Rodentia, Cricetidae.
GUAUUUACCUGACAGGAGAGAGACACUGGCCAGAAACAUGGUUUUCUUGGGGUGAGGUUCAUCCAUUGUACUCUAAGUGUGUUAACUCCUGAAAUUGCCCCAAAUUUAGGAAACUCAACUGUAUAAUUGGGGUAGUGGAGGUACAGUGCACCAUCUUUUG